Molecule: transfer RNA, 88 nt
Filed under: Oscillospiraceae bacterium
Lineage: Bacteria; Bacillati; Bacillota; Clostridia; Eubacteriales; Oscillospiraceae
Also listed under: 1 other name
Description: tRNA-Leu
Rfam family: tRNA
About the family: Transfer RNA (tRNA) molecules are approximately 80 nucleotides in length.
Source: RNAcentral
GCCGGUGUGGUGGAAUAGGCAGACACAAGGGACUUAAAAUCCCUCGAUCAUUGCGAUCGUACCGGUUCAAGUCCGGUCACCGGCACCA